This 492-nucleotide ribosomal RNA is filed under the name uncultured bacterium. Its description in RNAcentral is "partial 16S ribosomal RNA". It matches the Rfam family "Bacterial small subunit ribosomal RNA", at positions 29 to 507 of the family's 1533-position model. The record is from RNAcentral.
AGUGAACGCUGGCGGUAGGCCUAACACAUGCAAGUCGAACGGCAGCACAGUAAGAGCUUGCUCUUACGGGUGGCGAGUGGCGGACGGGUGAGGAAUACAUCGGAAUCUACUUUUUCGUGGGGGAUAACGUAGGGAAACUUACGAUAAUACCGCAUACGACCUACGGGUGAAAGCAGGGGAUCUUCGGACUUUGCGCGAUUGAAUGAGCCGAGGUCGGAUUAGCUAGUUGGCGGGGUAAAGGCCCACCAAGGCAACGAUACGUAGCUGGUCUGAGAGGAUGAUCAGCCACACUGGAACUGAGACACGGUCCAGACUCCUACGGGAGGCAGCAGUGGGGAAUAUUGGGCAAUGGGCGCAAGCCUGAUCCAGCCAUACCGCGUGAGUGAAGAAGGCCUUCGGGUUGUAAAGCCCUUUUGUUGGGAAAGAAAAGCAGCGUGUUAAUACCCCGCUGUUCUGACGGUACCCAAAGAAUAAGCACCGGCUAACUUCGUG